Molecule: unclassified non-coding RNA, 520 nt
Filed under: uncultured Glomus
Lineage: Eukaryota; Fungi; Glomeromycota; Glomeromycetes; Glomerales; Glomeraceae
Description: SSU rRNA
Rfam family: Eukaryotic small subunit ribosomal RNA
Source: RNAcentral
AGCAGCCGCGGUAAUUCCAGCUCCAAUAGCGUAUAUUAAAGUUGCUGCAGUUAAAAAGCUCGUAGUUGAAUUUCGGGAUCAAUAUGUUGGUCGUGCCUCGGUACGUACUAGCUUAUUGGUUUCUUCCUUCUGACGAACCAUAAUGUCAUUUAUUUGGUGUUAUGGGGAAUCAGGACUGUUACUUUGAAAAAAUUAGAGCGUUUAAAGCAGGCUCACGCUUGAAUACAUUAGCAUGGAAUAAUGAAAUAGGACGUUUGAUUCUAUUUUGUUGGUUUCUAGGAUCGACGUAAUGAUUAAUAGGGAUAGUUGGGGGCAUUAGUAUUCAAUUGUCAGAGGUGAAAUUCUUGGAUUUAUUGAAGACUAACUACUGCGAAAGUAUUUGCCAAGGAUGUUUUCAUUAAUCAAGAACGAAAGUUAGGGGAUCGAAGACGAUCAGAUACCGUCGUAGUCUUAACCAUAAACUAUGCCGACUAGGGAUCGGAUGAUGUUAAUUUUUUAAUGACUCAUUCGGCGCCUUACG